GGGGGUGUGGCUCAAGUUGUAGAGGGCCUGCCUGGAAAGCAAGAGGCCAGAGUUCAAACUCUAAUACCUCCA
Molecule: transfer RNA, 72 nt
Filed under: Dipodomys ordii (Ord's kangaroo rat)
Lineage: Eukaryota; Metazoa; Chordata; Mammalia; Rodentia; Heteromyidae
Rfam family: tRNA
About the family: Transfer RNA (tRNA) molecules are approximately 80 nucleotides in length.
Source: Rfam by way of RNAcentral